This 253-nucleotide ribosomal RNA is filed under the name uncultured bacterium. RNAcentral describes it as "partial 16S ribosomal RNA". It matches the Rfam family "Bacterial small subunit ribosomal RNA", at positions 524 to 776 of the family's 1533-position model. The record is from RNAcentral.
UACGUAGGUGGCAAGCGUUGUCCGGAUUUACUGGGCGUAAAGAGCGCGCAGGCGGUCGUAUAAGUCGAAUGUGAAAGCCCCCGGCUCAACUGGGGAGGGUCAUUCGAUACUGUUCGACUCGAAGGCAGGAGAGGGAAGCGGAAUUCCCGGUGUAGUGGUGAAAUGCGUAGAUAUCGGGAGGAACACCAGUGGCGAAGGCGGCUUUCUGGCCUGUUCUUGACGCUGAGGCGCGAAAGCUAGGGGAGCAAACGGG